CUGGUUGAUCCUGCCAGUAGUCAUAUGCUUGUCUCAAAGAUUAAGCCAUGCAUGUCUAAGUAUAAGCGAUAUACAGUGAAACUGCGAAUGGCUCAUUAAAUCGGUUAUAAUCUACUCGAUAGUACACAUUACUUGGAUAACUCCGGUAAUUCUGUAGCUAACACAUGCUUGCCCUCGGGCGUAUCUGUUAGAUUAAAAGCCAACAUUAUCUGGUGAUUCAUAACAGCUUGUCGGAUCGCAUGGCCUUGAGCCGGCGAUGGUUCGAUCGAAUUUCCGCUCUAUUAACUAGAUUCAAGGGUAGUGACCUUGAAUUGUGACAAUGGAUAACGGGGAAUAAGGGUUCUAUUCCGGAGAGGGAGCCUGAGAAACGGCUACCACAUCCAAGGAAGGCAGCAGGCGCGCAAAUUACCCAAUCCUAAUACAGGGAGGUAGUGACAAUAAAUAACGAUACGGGGCCCAUUGGGUUUCGUAAUUGGAAUGAGAACAAUUUAAAUACCUUAACGAGGAACAAGUAGAGGGCAAGUCUGGUGCCAGCAGCCGCGGUAAUUCCAGCUCUGCUAGUGUAUAUUAAAGUUGUUGCAGUUAAAAAGCUCGUAGUUGAAUGUCGGAAGCGGAAGGUAGGACACGCAAGUGUCCUGCCGUACCUCUUCUUAUGGCUGUCCUCACGGACGGCCGGUUACAUUGAAAAAAUUAGAGUGUUCAAAGCAGGCUAUUGCUCGAAUAUUUCAGCAUGGGAUAACGGAAUAGGACGAUAGUUUUAUUUUGUUGGUUUUUAAAACCGUCGUAAUGAUUAAUAGGAACGGUCGGGGGUAUUAGUAUUUAGUUGUCAGAGGUGAAAUUCUUGGAUUUACUAAAGACUAACAACUGCGAAGGCAUUUACCAAGGACGUCUCCAUUAAUCAAGAACGAAAGUUAGGGGAUCGAAGACGAUCAGAUACCGUCGUAGUCUUAACCGUAAACGAUGCCGACUCAGGAUGGGUACUUUUUAAUAAAUGAAGUAUCUGCACUGUACGAGAAAUCAAAGUUUUUGGGUUCUGGGGGGAGUAUUUACGCAAGUAAGGAACUUAAAGGAAUUGACGGAAGGGCACCACCAGGAGUGGAGCCUGCGACUUAAUUUGACUCAACACGGGGAAACUUACCAGGUCCAGACGCGAUUAGGAUUGACAGAUUGAUAGCUCUUUCAUGAUUUCGCGGGUGGUGGUGCAUGGCCGUUCUUAGUUCGUGGAUUCAUCUGGCAACUUGAUUGUGGUAACGAACGAGACCUCUGUUAAUAGUUGGGGAUUAUUACUUUAGUAGUGAUUUCGAUCUAUUAAGACUGCUGGUGCGAGCCAGAGGAAGUUGGAGGCGAUAACAGGUCUGUGAUGCCCUUAGACGUUCUGGGCUGUACGCGCGCUACACUGACAAAGCCAACGAGUUUUGGCCUUGGCCGAGAGGUCUGGGUAAUCUUGUUAAACUUUGUCGUGCUGGGGACUGAGCAUUGCAAUUAUUGCUCACGAACGAGGAAUUCCUAGUAAGCGCAAGUCAUCAGCUUGCGUUGAUUACGUCCCUGCCCUUUGUACACACCGCCCGUCGCUAGUACCGAUUGAAUGAUUUAGUGAGGUCUUGGGAGGAGAGAAUUUUUGGGAGACUGAGAAUUUUUUCCAAACUUGAUCAAACUGAAUUAUUUAGAGGAACUAAAAGUCGUAACAAGGUAUCUGUAGGUGAACCUGCAGAUGGAUCAUUC
Molecule: ribosomal RNA, 1722 nt
Filed under: Crinitomyces ghanaensis
Lineage: Eukaryota; Fungi; Ascomycota; Dipodascomycetes; Dipodascales; Trichomonascaceae
Description: SSU rRNA
Rfam family: Eukaryotic small subunit ribosomal RNA
Source: RNAcentral